Molecule: ribosomal RNA, 384 nt
Filed under: uncultured bacterium
Lineage: Bacteria
Description: bacterial SSU rRNA
Rfam family: Bacterial small subunit ribosomal RNA
Source: RNAcentral
AAUGGGGGCAACCCUGACGCAGCAACGCCGCGUGCGGGAUGAAGGUCUUCGGAUUGUAAACCGAUUUCAGUAGGGAAUAUUAUGAAGGUACCUACAGAAGAAGCACUGGCUAAAUACGUGCCAGCAGCCGCGGUAAUACGUAUGGUGCGAGCGUUNUCNGGAAUCAUUGGGCGUAAAGCUCGCGUAGGCGGCUUGUUAAGCAGGAAUUUAAAUCUUAGGGCUCAACCUUAAGUCGGUUCCUGAACUGGCAGGCUAGAGUGCGGUAGAGGAAGGUGGAAUUCCCAGUGUAGCGGUGAAAUGCGCAGAUAUUGGGAAGAACACCGAUGGCGAAGGCCGCCUUCUGGGCCGCCACUGACGCUGAGGCGCGAAAGCUAGGGGAGCGAA